This 923-nucleotide long non-coding RNA is filed under the name Marmota monax (woodchuck). Lineage: Eukaryota; Metazoa; Chordata; Mammalia; Rodentia; Sciuridae. The record is from RNAcentral.
GAAGUCUUCAUUUCUCUGUUCCUAAAUUGCACACAUUGAUCUGCUGUGUACAAAGUUGCAGAGCAAGUUGGCAGGAGCACUGGAGUGUGUCGGGUCUACUAGGGAAUACAUAUACUUGGGUUUUAGUUUAAAUGAGCUGAGAGCUGGGGAAUGGCUUGACAGUCAUGGGGAGCCCAAGUGUCUGUUUCCCACCAAACAAGUCCCUUCAUAGGUUGGAGCUGUCAGUCAGUACGCCCUGGGAGUACCUGCCCUGGGGACAGGUGUCUCCUUCUACACUACUGGCCUGCCACUGUGGAGAGGAGAUGUGGGAGGGCUGGAGUGGGGCCAGGGAACUGGGCUGCUGGGGGAGUGUUUUUGAUACUGCUCUGUUCUCUGCCCCUUCAAUGUCUUGAACCUGAAGUAUGAGCUUUUGUCAGGGGAAGGACAGAGGCUAGAUCCCCUGAAAGCAGACCCUGGCCCAGGGCUCAGGGCUCAGGGCUCUACAUACUUGAACAGCCUGUCUCCUCUGUUACCUAUUCUAAUAUUAAUAUCUUGAUUAAUUCCAGAACAAUUGUUCUUUAAUGUUUUUAAAAAUAUUUCCUAGCCUUUGCAAACCACCUACUCUUCUCUGAGAGUGACUUUGAUUGAAGUUUGAAGUUUUAAGGUUCAGCUGUUUUCUUGUUACUUAUUAUUAGAAAAAUGUAGCAAUUUCCCCCAAGUAAAGAAGGAAAAGGUCCUUUCCUCCUCCCUGCGUCUCCUUCUCCCCGCCCCCUUCACUUCUCCUGGUGUGUCGUAACUUUAAAAAAGGCCUGCAAGAUAUAGUUAUUUAUUCUUCUCCUUCCUUCCUUCAACUCAAUUUUGGGCUAAGGCCAAAAUUUGGGGGAAACAGAAGCAGCCAUCCGAAGAAUCUCCUUCAAAGCUCAAGUGUUGCUCCUGUGACUGCU